UACGUAGGUGGCAAGCGUUGUCCGGAAUUAUUGGGCGUAAAGCGCGCGCAGGCGGUUCCUUAAGUCUGAUGUGAAAGCCCACGGCUCACCCGUGGAGGGUCAUUGGAAACUGGGGGACUUGAGUGCAGAAGAGGAGAGCGGAAUUCCACGUGUAGCGGUGAAAUGCGUAGAGAUGUGGAGGAACACCAGUGGCGAAGGCGGCUUCCUGGACUAAAACUGACACUGAGGUGCGAAAGCGUGGGGAGCAAACAGG
This 253-nucleotide ribosomal RNA is filed under the name uncultured bacterium. RNAcentral's name for it is "partial 16S ribosomal RNA". It matches the Rfam family "Bacterial small subunit ribosomal RNA", at positions 524 to 776 of the family's 1533-position model. The record is from RNAcentral.